GUGCCAGCAGCCGCGGUAAUACGUAGGUGGCGAGCGUUGUCCGGAUUUACUGGGCGUAAAGAGCGCGCAGGCGGUCGUGCAAGUCGGAUGUGAAAGCCCCCGGCUCAACUGGGGAGGGUCAUUCGAUACUGCUCGACUCGAAGGCGGGAGAGGGAAGCGGAAUUCCCGGUGUAGUGGUGAAAUGCGUAGAUAUCGGGAGGAACACCAGUGGCGAAGGCGGCUUCCUGGCCCGUUCUUGACGCUGAGGCGCGAAAGCUAGGGGAGCGAACGGGAUUAGAAACCCGAGUAGUCC
RNAcentral lists this ribosomal RNA (292 nucleotides) under uncultured bacterium. RNAcentral describes it as "partial 16S ribosomal RNA". It matches the Rfam family "Bacterial small subunit ribosomal RNA", at positions 505 to 796 of the family's 1533-position model. The record is from RNAcentral.